CAGCACGAAUAGCAAUAUUUGGUGGCGACCGGCAAACGGGUGCGGAACACGUACGCAACCUUCCUUUAAGUGGGGAAUAGCCCGGGGAAACCCGGAUUAAUACCCCGUAAUAUUAUGAUGUGGCAUCACUUUAUAAUUAUAGAUUUAUCGCUUAAAGAUGGGCGUGCGCCUGAUUAGGUAGUUGGCGGGGUAACGGCCCACCAAGCCAGCGAUCAGUAACUGGUGUGAGAGCACGACCAGUCACACGGGCACUGAGACACGGGCCCGACUCCUACGGGAGGCAGCAGUAAGGAAUAUUGGUCAAUGGACGCAAGUCUGAACCAGCCAUGCCGCGUGGAGGAUGAAGGUCCUCUGGAUUGUAAACUUCUUUUAUUUGGGAAGAAAUGUGAUUAUUCUUUUUCACUUGACGGUACCAGAUGAAUAAGCACCGGCUAACUCCGUGCCAGCAGCCGCGGUAAUACGGAGGGUGCAAGCGUUAUCCGGAUUUACUGGGUUUAAAGGGUGCGCAGGCGGAUAUGUAAGUCAGUGGUGAAAUCUCCGGGCUUAACCCGGAAAUUGCCGUUGAUACUAUAUAUCUUGAAUGCUGUGGAGGUAAGCAGAAUAUGUCAUGUAGCGGUGAAAUGCUUAGAUAUGACAUAGAAUACCUAUUGCGAAGGCAGCUUACUACGCAGAUAUUGACGCUCAUGCACGAAAGCGUGGGGAUCAAACAGGAUUAGAUACCCUGGUAGUCCACGCCCUAAACGAUGAUUACUCGACAUACGCGAUACACUGUGUGUGUCUGAGCGAAAGCAUUAAGUAAUCCACCUGGGAAGUACGAUCGCAAGAUUGAAACUCAAA
RNAcentral lists this ribosomal RNA (837 nucleotides) under uncultured Sphingobacteriia bacterium. RNAcentral describes it as "bacterial SSU rRNA". It matches the Rfam family "Bacterial small subunit ribosomal RNA", at positions 70 to 905 of the family's 1533-position model. Lineage: Bacteria; Pseudomonadati; Bacteroidota; Sphingobacteriia. The record is from RNAcentral.